GAAAAUAGUUAUAUUUAUCAUUGAGAAUAAAUAAGGGUGAUAAAUUACUGUAGAUAAGGUAUUCCACACUAUGCAACAUAUAUUAAAUUCAUGUUAUUGUCAGAUAGAAUACUGAGGAUCCCUGAAGGAAAGAGCUUGUAAAGUUGUCACCCACUGGUCUUAGUAUUUUGUGUUUAUAUAUUUAUUUUUGUCAGGCCAGGGUGUGACAUGGGUUUAUUUUGUGUUGUGUUUUUGUAUUGGGGUUUUAGUAGGUAUUGGGAUUGUGGCUGAGUAGGGGUGUCUAGCAUAGUCUAUGGCUGCCUGAGGCGGUUCUCAAUCAGAGUCAGGUGAUUCUCGUUGUCUCUGAUUGGGAACCAUAUUUAGGUAGCCUGGGUUUCACUGUGUGUUUGUGGGUGAUUGUUCCUGUCUCAGUGUGUUUGUAUUUCACCAGAUAGGCUGUAUAGGUUUUCACGUUUCUUGUUUUUGUAUUUGUCGUGUUUAUUCAUUCAUUAAACAUGUAUCGAACUAACCACGCUGCAUUUUGGUCCGACUCUCCUUCGACGGAAGAAAGCCGUAACAAAAGUGUAGGAAUGAUUUCGAUAUGGUUAGCAUUAGUUUAGGCUCUGGUUAACUAUUAGGAGGUUUUUUAAAUAUUAUUAAACUUAACAGGAAUAUAGGACAUCUGUGGUGAUUUAGGAUUAUUGUAAGGAUUAAGAUAGAUUGAUUAAGGAAAUGUAAGGACUUUAGAGAUGGCCACUUAUAGGCAUGUUUUUUCUAAAAUCAAUGAUUUUAGAUAGUCAAACAGUGAGAUGCUUAGUGGCAUUUUGAGAGAUAGGAGAGAAAGGAAUUACUGUUUAAAUCGGUAAAUAUAUAUAUUUAAGAACAUAUAUAAAUAGCACAGAUACUUCUUAAACUAGAUAAGACACUGGACAGAGAAUUGAUACAGGAUUGAGAUGAAUGGAUGCCCAAGGGAGAAUUGGACAUACAUGAUAAUGUCAGAAAAUCAGGAUAAUUUACCAAUCCUACCUAAGUCAUUAUUUAGGGUAUAUAAGGUUGUUACCUGGGCAGAGCCAGGUAUCAAAAGGGGGGUGGGUAAGUUAGUGGCCUAUUGGAUAAGAAACUAAUAAUUAAAAAAAAAAACAUUUUUAGCUAACAAAUAGGCCUAGAAGUUAAAGAUAUAAUCAGAUAAAACAUAUGAGAAACUGUUUGUUAACCAAGCCCAUAUGUCCAGGAUUUUAUGCAUUACAGGUGAACUACAGGUGAAGUCACUCAAUCCAGUCCCCGAGGCUUGUUGGGGGGACCAUACCAAGGAUCCCUGGUGACAGCUAGCUGAAAGAGCUACCCGGAUUCAUAUCGCACGGCGGGAGGGACUCUGGAGAAAUCGAUGACAAUAGAUGGUGAGGUGCCAGGGGAUUCCAGGUUCUGACCCGCGGAGUGCUGAUUGUAUGUCUACAGGACAAGUGGACGAAUAUGGAUCCUUCAGGGAAUUUCUGCGGGGAAUUUAUGUUUGAAGAGACCAUUUUUGAUGUUUAGGGAGGCUAGGUUGUAUCCUGUUUCAACAAUAGACUGUUUUUUUAAUGAAGAUUGUAACGAAAAUCCUGAUAAGAAGAGUUAUGAUUCUGAUGUAGGCCUGAGAAACAAUUAUGGCGAAUGCAAGUGUUGGGUUAUGUUUAGGUGAUGUUUUGAUGGCAAGAAAUAUCUUUAAUAAAAAUAGAAUAGCUUUUUCAUAUUACAAUAUAACUACAAUGUGUGAUUGAAUGUAUAAUAUUUAAUCAAAGGGUGGAUAUGUUAAGGGAAUUUUUAUCAAGAUGACUAAUUAUGUAUACAUUUCAAUCAGGACUGACUAAUCCGAUUACUAUUAUGUUACUAUACAUGUACUAAUCAGAAUACUAAAUGUUACUGUAUAUGUAUGAGUUUUCAUUCUUGAUCCCAGUACUGAAAAUAAUGUGUGUGAAUGUGGGCAAAAGUUAGAACAAUGACGGUCUGUUCCUUGGUACAAAUGAAUGAACGAUAUCUCCAGACUGUCUAGAAUGCUUAUCUACACUGACUGACCUUGGCUCUAGGCGAGGAGGGAAGGCUUGAGAGCUAUAGAGCCUUUCUACCAGUGUCAAGAAGAAACGGAACAUUUAGAAAACGCUGACGUCAUUUUCAGUUUAUAACCUGUGGUAAAAUGUGUAUGAACUCAGUACUCUCUUGAAUAAAG
Long non-coding RNA from Oncorhynchus tshawytscha (Chinook salmon), 2182 nucleotides. NCBI's taxonomy places the organism in Eukaryota, Metazoa, Chordata, Actinopteri, Salmoniformes, Salmonidae. The record is from Ensembl.